UUGACAUCAUCAUACUUGGGA
RNAcentral lists this non-coding RNA (21 nucleotides) under Xenopus tropicalis (tropical clawed frog). Lineage: Eukaryota; Metazoa; Chordata; Amphibia; Anura; Pipidae. RNAcentral also lists the same sequence under 2 other names. The record is from RNAcentral.